AGGAUCCGAGCGUUAUCCGGAUUUAUUGGGUUUAAAGGGUGCGUAGGCGGCACAUUAAGUCAGGGGUGAAAUUCGGCAGCUCAACUGUCGGCGUGCCUUUGAUACUGGUGUGCUUGAAUUGGUUCGAGGUCGGCGGAAUGUGACAAGUAGCGGUGAAAUGCAUAGAUAUGUCACAGAACUCCAAUUGCGAAGGCAGCUGACCAGGUCCAUAUUGACGCUGAUGCACGAAAGCGUGGGUAUCGA
RNAcentral lists this ribosomal RNA (243 nucleotides) under uncultured bacterium. Its description in RNAcentral is "partial 16S ribosomal RNA". It matches the Rfam family "Bacterial small subunit ribosomal RNA", at positions 529 to 771 of the family's 1533-position model. The record is from RNAcentral.